AUUGAACGCUGGCGGCAGGCCUAACACAUGCAAGUCGAGCGGAUGAAGGGAGCUUGCUCCCGGAUUCAGCGGCGGACGGGUGAGUAAUGCCCAGGAAUCUGCCUGGUAGAGGGGGAUAACGUCCGGAAACGGGCGCUAAUACCGCAUACGUCCUGAGGGAGAAAGUGGGGGAUCUUCGGAACUCACGCCAUCAGAUGAGCCUAGGUGGGAUUAGCUAGUUGGUGGGGUAAAGGCCUACCAAGGCGACGAUCCGUAACUGGUCUGAGAGGAUGAUCAGUCACACUGGAACUGAGACACGGUCCAGACUCCUACGGGAGGCAGCAGUGGGGAAUAUUGGACAGUGGGCGAAAGCCUGAUCCAGCCAUGCCGCGUGUGUGAAGAAGGUCUUCGGAUUGUAAAGCACUUUAAGGUGGGAGGAAGGGCAGUAAGUUAAUACCUUGCUGUUUUGACGUUACCAACAGAAUAAGCACCGGCUAACUUCGUG
This 484-nucleotide ribosomal RNA is filed under the name uncultured bacterium. Its description in RNAcentral is "partial 16S ribosomal RNA". It matches the Rfam family "Bacterial small subunit ribosomal RNA", at positions 30 to 507 of the family's 1533-position model. The record is from RNAcentral.